RNAcentral lists this ribosomal RNA (303 nucleotides) under Triticum aestivum (bread wheat). RNAcentral's name for it is "partial small subunit ribosomal RNA". Lineage: Eukaryota; Viridiplantae; Streptophyta; Magnoliopsida; Poales; Poaceae. The record is from RNAcentral.
AUGACCUGGGUGCAAAAAGCAAAAAGUCCAAAAUGGCAGUACGCUGGUGCUGGUGGUGCAUGCGGUGCAAGCGAACACAUUCGUGCUGGUGGUGCAUGCGGUGCAAGCGAACACAUUCGUGCUGGUGGGCACAAGAGCAUCACCUGUCCACAGAGGGGUGAUCUUCCUCGAAAAGAAAGGAAGGAAGCAAAAUGUUCAAACUGGGGAGUUGGUGGUCACAGGAAGAACACCUGCAACAAACCUAAAGUUGUGAUGCAUGUUGUUGAAACUGGUACUUUACAGCAACAGCAGCUGUGCAAGUGA